GUCCAUGGGCCUACCAUGUGAACACGCCUGAUCUCAUCUGAUUCUCAGAAGUUAACGCAGGGUCAGGCCUGGCUAAGUACUGGAUGAGAAGCAACAGGGAACUACCACGUGCUGUAAGCU
Molecule: ribosomal RNA, 120 nt
Filed under: Cercocebus atys (sooty mangabey)
Lineage: Eukaryota; Metazoa; Chordata; Mammalia; Primates; Cercopithecidae
Source: RNAcentral